RNAcentral lists this ribosomal RNA (468 nucleotides) under uncultured bacterium. RNAcentral's name for it is "partial 16S ribosomal RNA". It matches the Rfam family "Bacterial small subunit ribosomal RNA", at positions 28 to 507 of the family's 1533-position model. The record is from RNAcentral.
GACGAACGCUGGCGGCGUGCUUAACACAUGCAAGUCGAACGGAAAGGCCCUGCUUUUGUGGGGUGCUCGAGUGGCGAACGGGUGAGUAACACGUGAGUAACCUGCCAUUGACUUUGGGAUAACUUCAGGAAACUGGGGCUAAUACCGGAUAGGAGCUCCUGCUGCAUGGUGGGGGUUGGAAAGUUUCGGCGGUUGGGGAUGGACUCGCGGCUUAUCAGCUUGUUGGUGGGGUAGUGGCUUACCAAGGCUUUGACGGGUAGCCGGCCUGAGAGGGUGACCGGCCACAUUGGGACUGAGAUACGGCCCAGACUCCUACGGGAGGCAGCAGUGGGGAAUAUUGCACAAUGGGCGGAAGCCUGAUGCAGCAACGCCGCGUGCGGGAUGACGGCCUUCGGGUUGUAAACCGCUUUCGCCUGUGACGAAGCGUGAGUGACGGUAAUGGGUAAAGAAGCACCGGCUAACUACGUG